RNAcentral lists this ribosomal RNA (867 nucleotides) under uncultured bacterium. Its description in RNAcentral is "bacterial SSU rRNA". It matches the Rfam family "Bacterial small subunit ribosomal RNA", at positions 60 to 919 of the family's 1533-position model. The record is from RNAcentral.
AGUCGAGGGGCAGCGGGAUUGAAGCUUGCUUCAAUUGCCGGCGACCGGCGCACGGGUGAGUAACGCGUAUCCAACCUUCCGUACACUCAGGGAUAGCCUUUCGAAAGAAAGAUUAAUACCUGAUGGUAUGAUGAGAUUGCAUGAUAGCAUCAUUAAAGAUUUAUCGGUGUACGAUGGGGAUGCGUUCCAUUAGGUAGUAGGCGGGGUAACGGCCCACCUAGCCAACGAUGGAUAGGGGUUCUGAGAGGAAGGUCCCCCACAUUGGAACUGAGACACGGUCCAAACUCCUACGGGAGGCAGCAGUGAGGAAUAUUGGUCAAUGGACGAGAGUCUGAACCAGCCAAGUAGCGUGAAGGAUGAAGGUCUUACGGAUUGUAAACUUCUUUUAUAAGGGAAUAAAACCUCCCACGUGUGGGAGCUUGUAUGUACCUUAUGAAUAAGCAUCGGCUAACUCCGUGCCAGCAGCCGCGGUAAUACGGAGGAUGCGAGCGUUAUCCGGAUUUAUUGGGUUUAAAGGGAGCGCAGACGGGUCGUUAAGUCAGCUGUGAAAGUUUGGGGCUCAACCUUAAAAUUGCAGUUGAUACUGGCGUCCUUGAGUGCGGUUGAGGUGUGCGGAAUUCGUGGUGUAGCGGUGAAAUGCUUAGAUAUCACGAAGAACUCCGAUUGCGAAGGCAGCACACUAAGCCGUAACUGACGUCCAUGCUCGAAAGUGUGGGUAUCAAACAGGAUUAGAUACCCUGGUAGUCCACACGGUAAACGAUGGAUACUCGCUGUUGGCGAUAUACGGUCAGCGGCUUAGCGAAAGCGUUAAGUAUCCCACCUGGGGAGUACGCCGGCAACGGUGAAACUCAAAGGAAUUGACGGGGG